AUUGAAACACCAGUUCACAUAUGACCACCAAAGUUAAGCAAUGUCAAACCUGGUCAGUACCUAGAUGAGUGACUACUUGGGAAUACCAUGUGCUGUAAG
Non-coding RNA from Acanthosepion pharaonis, 99 nucleotides. The record is from the annotation of a GenBank genome assembly. NCBI's taxonomy places the organism in Eukaryota, Metazoa, Mollusca, Cephalopoda, Sepiida, Sepiidae.